RNAcentral lists this ribosomal RNA (301 nucleotides) under uncultured bacterium. RNAcentral's name for it is "partial 16S ribosomal RNA". It matches the Rfam family "Bacterial small subunit ribosomal RNA", at positions 509 to 807 of the family's 1533-position model. The record is from RNAcentral.
CAGUAGCCGCGGUAAGACGGAGGGUGCUAGCGUUGUUCGGAAUCACUGGGCGUAAAGGGCGCGUAGGCAGCCUGUUAAGUCGGAUGUGAAAGCCCGGGGCUCAACCCCGGAACUGCAUCCGAGACUGGCAGGCUUGAGACCGGGAGAGGAGGGUGGAAUAUCCAGUGUAGAGGUGAAAUUCGUAGAUAUUGGAUGGAACACCGGUGGCGAAAGCGGCUCUCUGGCCCGGAUCUGACGCUGAGGCGCGAAAGCGUGGGGAGCAAACAGGAUUAGAUACCCCAGUAGUCCCUGUCUCUUAUAC